This 158-nucleotide ribosomal RNA is filed under the name Fusarium sp. Its description in RNAcentral is "5.8S ribosomal RNA". It matches the Rfam family "5.8S ribosomal RNA". From Rfam's summary of the family: 5.8S ribosomal RNA (5.8S rRNA) is a component of the large subunit of the eukaryotic ribosome. Lineage: Eukaryota; Fungi; Ascomycota; Sordariomycetes; Hypocreales; Nectriaceae. The record is from RNAcentral.
AAACUUUCAACAACGGAUCUCUUGGUUCUGGCAUCGAUGAAGAACGCAUCAAAAUGCGAUAAGUAAUGUGAAUUGCAGAAUUCAGUGAAUCAUCGAAUCUUUGAACGCACAUUGCGCCCGCCAGUAUUCUGGCGGGCAUGCCUGUUCGAGCGUCAUUU